AACGAACGCUGGCGGCAGGCCUAACACAUGCAAGUCGAACGCUCUAGCAAUAGAGAGUGGCAGACGGGUGAGUAACGCGUGGGAACCUUCCCAGUGGUGCAGAAUAGCCCAGGGGAACUUGGGGUAAUACUGCAUAAGCCCUUCGGGGGAAAGAUUUAUCGCCAUUGGAUGGGCCCGCGUCGGAUUAGCUAGUUGGUGAGGUAAUGGCUCACCAAGGCAACGAUCCGUAGCUGGUUUGAGAGAAUGACCAGCCACACUGGGACUGAGACACGGCCCAGACUCCUACGGGAGGCAGCAGUGGGGAAUCUUGGACAAUGGGCGCAAGCCUGAUCCAGCCAUGCCGCGUGAGUGACGAAGGCCUUAGGGUUGUAAAGCUCUUUUGCCGGGGACGAUAAUGACGGUACCCGGAGAGUAAGUCCCGGCUAACUUCGUGCCAGCAGCCGCCGUAA
Molecule: ribosomal RNA, 449 nt
Filed under: uncultured bacterium
Lineage: Bacteria
Description: partial 16S ribosomal RNA
Rfam family: Bacterial small subunit ribosomal RNA
Source: RNAcentral